UUAAGCGACUAAGCGUACACGGUGGAUGCCCUGGCAGUCAGAGGCGAUGAAGGACGUGCUAAUCUGCGAUAAGCGUCGGUAAGGUGAUAUGAACCGUUAUAACCGGCGAUUUCCGAAUGGGGAAACCCAGUGUGAUUCGUCACACUAUCAUUAACUGAAUCCAUAGGUUAAUGAGGCGAACCGGGGGAACUGAAACAUCUAAGUACCCCGAGGAAAAGAAAUCAACCGAGAUUCCCCCAGUAGCGGCGAGCGAACGGGGAGCAGCCCAGAGCCUGAAUCAGUGUGUGUGUUAGUGGAAGCGUCUGGAAAGGCGCGCGAUACAGGGUGACAGCCCCGUACACAAAAAUGCACAUGCUGUGAGCUCGAUGAGUAGGGCGGGACACGUGGUAUCCUGUCUGAAUAUGGGGGGACCAUCCUCCAAGGCUAAAUACUCCUGACUGACCGAUAGUGAACCAGUACCGUGAGGGAAAGGCGAAAAGAACCCCGGCGAGGGGAGUGAAAAAGAACCUGAAACCGUGUACGUACAAGCAGUGGGAGCACGCUUAGGCGUGUGACUGCGUACCUUUUGUAUAAUGGGUCAGCGACUUAUAUUCUGUAGCAAGGUUAACCGAAUAGGGGAGCCGAAGGGAAACCGAGUCUUAACUGGGCGUUAAGUUGCAGGGUAUAGACCCGAAACCCGGUGAUCUAGCCAUGGGCAGGUUGAAGGUUGGGUAACACUAACUGGAGGACCGAACCGACUAAUGUUGAAAAAUUAGCGGAUGACUUGUGGCUGGGGGUGAAAGGCCAAUCAAACCGGGAGAUAGCUGGUUCUCCCCGAAAGCUAUUUAGGUAGCGCCUCGUGAAUUCAUCUCCGGGGGUAGAGCACUGUUUCGGCAAGGGGGUCAUCCCGACUUACCAACCCGAUGCAAACUGCGAAUACCGGAGAAUGUUAUCACGGGAGACACACGGCGGGUGCUAACGUCCGUCGUGAAGAGGGAAACAACCCAGACCGCCAGCUAAGGUCCCAAAGUCAUGGUUAAGUGGGAAACGAUGUGGGAAGGCCCAGACAGCCAGGAUGUUGGCUUAGAAGCAGCCAUCAUUUAAAGAAAGCGUAAUAGCUCACUGGUCGAGUCGGCCUGCGCGGAAGAUGUAACGGGGCUAAACCAUGCACCGAAGCUGCGGCAGCGACACUAUGUGUUGUUGGGUAGGGGAGCGUUCUGUAAGCCUGUGAAGGUGUACUGUGAGGUAUGCUGGAGGUAUCAGAAGUGCGAAUGCUGACAUAAGUAACGAUAAAGCGGGUGAAAAGCCCGCUCGCCGGAAGACCAAGGGUUCCUGUCCAACGUUAAUCGGGGCAGGGUGAGUCGACCCCUAAGGCGAGGCCGAAAGGCGUAGUCGAUGGGAAACAGGUUAAUAUUCCUGUACUUGGUGUUACUGCGAAGGGGGGACGGAGAAGGCUAUGUUGGCCGGGCGACGGUUGUCCCGGUUUAAGCGUGUAGGCUGGUUUUCCAGGCAAAUCCGGAAAAUCAAGGCUGAGGCGUGAUGACGAGGCACUACGGUGCUGAAGCAACAAAUGCCCUGCUUCCAGGAAAAGCCUCUAAGCAUCAGGUAACAUCAAAUCGUACCCCAAACCGACACAGGUGGUCAGGUAGAGAAUACCAAGGCGCUUGAGAGAACUCGGGUGAAGGAACUAGGCAAAAUGGUGCCGUAACUUCGGGAGAAGGCACGCUGAUAUGUAGGUGAAGCGACUUGCUCGUGGAGCUGAAAUCAGUCGAAGAUACCAGCUGGCUGCAACUGUUUAUUAAAAACACAGCACUGUGCAAACACGAAAGUGGACGUAUACGGUGUGACGCCUGCCCGGUGCCGGAAGGUUAAUUGAUGGGGUUAGCGCAAGCGAAGCUCUUGAUCGAAGCCCCGGUAAACGGCGGCCGUAACUAUAACGGUCCUAAGGUAGCGAAAUUCCUUGUCGGGUAAGUUCCGACCUG
Molecule: ribosomal RNA, 1961 nt
Filed under: human gut metagenome
Description: bacterial LSU rRNA
Rfam family: Bacterial large subunit ribosomal RNA
Source: RNAcentral